RNAcentral lists this ribosomal RNA (862 nucleotides) under uncultured bacterium. Its description in RNAcentral is "bacterial SSU rRNA". It matches the Rfam family "Bacterial small subunit ribosomal RNA", at positions 37 to 916 of the family's 1533-position model. The record is from RNAcentral.
UGGCGGCGUGCUUACACAUGCAAGUCGAGCGAUGAACACCUUCGGGUGUGAAUUAGCGGCGAACGGGUGAGGAACACGUGAGAAAUCUGCCUUCAACACUGGGAUAACUCCGGGAAACCGGGGCUAAUACCGGAUAUGAGAUCUACAGGCAUCUGUGGAUCUGGAAAGUUUUUCGGUUGAAGAUGAUCUCGCGGCCUAUCAGCUAGUUGGUGAGGUAAUGGCUCACCAAGGCGACGACGGGUAGCCGGCCUGAGAGGGCGACCGGCCACACUGGGACUGAGACACGGCCCAGACUCCUACGGGAGGCAGCAGUGGGGAAUAUUGGGCAAUGGAGGAAACUCUGACCCAGCGACGCCGCGUGCGGGAUGAAGGCCUUCGGGUUGUAAACCGCUUUCAGCAGGGAAGAAGCGAAAGUGACGGUACCUGCAGAAGAAGCACCGGCUAACUAUGUGCCAGCAGCCGCGGUAAUACAUAGGGUGCAAGCGUUGUCCGGAAUUAUUGGGCGUAAAGAGCUCGUAGGUGGUUCGUCACGUCGGAUGUGAAAAUCUGGGGCUUAACCCCAGACCUGCAUUCGAUACGGGCGAGCUUGAGUAUGGUAGGGGAGUCUGGAAUUCCUGGUGUAGCGGUGGAAUGCGCAGAUAUCAGGAGGAACACCAAUGGCGAAGGCAGGACUCUGGGCCAUUACUGACACUGAGGAGCGAAAGCGUGGGGAGCGAACAGGAUUAGAUACCCUGGUAGUCCACGCCGUAAACGGUGGGCACUAGUUGUGGGGACCUUCCACGGUCUCUGCGACGCGGCUAACGCAUUAAGUGCCCCGCCUGGGGAGUACGAUCGCAAGAUUAAAACUCAAAUGAAUUGACGG